AACACUGUUAACCUGCGGUACCUGCGGAGGGAUCAUUAAUGUGAUGGAUGUGCUAGUCUUGACUUCUCAAUCCUCCUUUCAAUACUUAUUGCUAGGUGGGGGCUUAACAGCUCGAGAGGAAAGGAAACAAAAGCCCGUUUGGGUGUGCACUCCAAUACUAUCCAAUUUUAUUUUAACCUUGUGCAUUUUUGCCUACAGAGCAAACAAAGAGCAUCAAAAUGAUGCUUUUGAUUGUGUAUG
This 240-nucleotide unclassified non-coding RNA is filed under the name soil metagenome. RNAcentral describes it as "partial contains 5.8S ribosomal RNA, internal transcribed spacer 2, and large subunit ribosomal RNA". The record is from RNAcentral.